Pseudomonas sp. BRH_c35 is the source of this 133-nucleotide non-coding RNA. Lineage: Bacteria; Pseudomonadati; Pseudomonadota; Gammaproteobacteria; Pseudomonadales; Pseudomonadaceae. The record is from Rfam.
CGUGCUCAGGGAUUAGCGCGGCCUUCAGGAUGAAGGUCAAGGACCGCCGCAGGAAGCGGUGUCAUCCAGGAAGAUGAGAAGGGAUACAGGGAACAAGGAAGGAGGCGGGCGGGGUCAAACCCGCCCCUUUUUU